RNAcentral lists this transfer RNA (77 nucleotides) under Clostridiales bacterium. Its description in RNAcentral is "tRNA-Arg". It matches the Rfam family "tRNA". Rfam says of the family: Transfer RNA (tRNA) molecules are approximately 80 nucleotides in length. Their secondary structure includes four short double-helical elements and three loops (D, anti-codon, and T loops). The record is from RNAcentral. Lineage: Bacteria; Bacillati; Bacillota; Clostridia; Eubacteriales.
GCGCCUGUAGCUCAGCUGGAUAGAGCAACGGACUUCUAAUCCGUUUGUCGGGGGUUCGAGUCCCUCCAGGUGCGCCA